This 580-nucleotide ribosomal RNA is filed under the name uncultured Pseudozyma. RNAcentral describes it as "eukaryotic LSU rRNA". It matches the Rfam family "Eukaryotic large subunit ribosomal RNA", at positions 91 to 653 of the family's 3401-position model. The record is from RNAcentral. Lineage: Eukaryota; Fungi; Basidiomycota; Ustilaginomycetes; Ustilaginales; Ustilaginaceae.
GAGUGAGAGGGAAGAGCCCAAGAUUGAAAGCUGGCGUCUUCGGCGUCCGCAUUGUAAUCUCAAGAAGUGUUUUCCGCUUCGGACCAUGCCUAAGUCCCUUGGAAAGGGGCAUCAUAGAGGGUGAUAAUCCCGUACAUGGCUUGGAGCGCCCGAGGCUUUGUGAUACGCUUUCUAAGAGUCGAGUUGUUUGGGAAUGCAGCUCAAAAUGGGUGGUAAAUGCCAUCUAAGGCUAAAUAUUGGGGAGAGACCGAUAGCGAACAAGUACAGUGAUGGAAAGAUGAAAAGAACUUUGAAAAGAGAGUUAAACAGUACGUGAAAUUGCCAAAAGGGAAGGGUAGGAGGUCAGAGAUGCGGCCUGGGAUUCAGCCUUGCUUUUGCUUGGUGUUUUUCCCAGAUUGCAGGCCAACGUCGGUUUUGGGCACUGGAGAAGGGUAGGAGGAACGUGGCACCUCUCGGGGUGUGUUAUAGCCUCCUACUGGAUACAGCGACCGAGACCGAGGACAGCAGCGUACUCGCAAGAGCGGGCCUUCGGGCACCUUUACGCUUAGGGCGUUGGCAUAAUGGCCCUCUACCACCCGUC